Hippocampus comes (tiger tail seahorse) is the source of this 1293-nucleotide long non-coding RNA. RefSeq lists it as uncharacterized. The record is from RefSeq and is a predicted model, not a curated record. The transcript has 2 exons. NCBI's taxonomy places the organism in Eukaryota, Metazoa, Chordata, Actinopteri, Syngnathiformes, Syngnathidae.
CAUCUCGAGGUGGCUUGGACACAAUUUCACGAGUCGGACGACGUCAUCGAUUUUGACAACGCCUGACGACUGAUGACUGAAACGUCAAAAUCUCAAUGGAGAUGAGGAGCCGAGUAACAAGAGGACUCACAACACAGGAGCUCGAGUCGCUCACUCGCAUUCACAGUGUGACGUCACGGCGACACAUGGGCCACCACAGACAGACGUUGGGCGCGCGCCAGUGACGUCAUCUUUUGUACAAAGAUUAAAGCCGACGCUGCACGUGUGAGCGCAAUUUUGUGGACCCGAACCAGUGACGUCACCACCCGGGGCUCCGAAGCGACCCCGAAAGAUGGAAGCCGCGAAGUUUUGUUCGAUGUGUACCCCGUCGACGAGCAGGUAGGGAGGCCAUCAUUGUCAUCUCCGCCCAAAUCGAUUGGGGGAAAAAAUGUUUUGUUUUAGUUUUUUUGUCCAAAAAAAGUGUGUGCAAAAUAUUCACGUACUGAUAUCUCAAAUGAAAAACUGAAAUACAUGUUUCUGUUGUGUGUAUGAGAACGUAUCAGUUUUCGUGAGAGGUAACGCUGACUUAUGUGCUGGAGACCACUCUUACAGUUAACAGGCGGCUGUCUAUUACAAUAUACAAUAUACAAUUAAACGUGCUCAAGUAGGAUCACAAAAUUAAUCGUGUUAAAAAAAAAGUCCAGAUUGAACUGCUGUAUUUCUGUAAUAUUCAUGUCGACCGCAAAUAAGACGACGUUUACAUCGUUCAGCCAAAGUGCCACUGAAGUCGUGUUUCGAACUUGUCAACUGUCAAAACAAAUGAAAUUGAUGACGUUUCUGCAGUUUCACAUCAGUCUUGGAGGCGUCUCCGAGUGCAUGUUUCAAGAUGUUCUAUGUCCAAACAAAUCAAGGAGACACCAUUUGGGCCGUUUGGCUAGUUGCAGUCCCAUCUAGGUCCUGCAGAUGUUGUUAGCGCAUAUUUCAAACUUUUGUCAACCGUCAAAACAAAUCAAGACGGCGUUUAUGCCGUUCCACUAAAGUCCCUCAAACGUUGUCUGUUAGCUUGAAUUUCAACCUGCUGUCAAGUGUCAAAACACAUCAAGAAGGAACUGGGAACACCCUUCAUCUCGUUGCAGUUCCACUUAAGUCAUGUCGACAUCAUUGGCUAGUUUUUAAACUUUUCAAACAAAUAAAUGUUUUUCCCGUUUGGUUAGUUGCAGUUCCCCCCCAUGUCCUGUAGGCGUCAGUAGUGUGCAUUUCAAAUACAUGUAGUGUUACAUUGUCAAAUAAAAUCAAGAUGACAUUUGUACAAUU